AACCUAAAAAAUUUGGCGGUAUUUUAAAUAAUUGGAGGAACCUGUUAUUUAAAUGAUAUUCCACAACAUAUCUUACCUAAAUUUUGUUUGUAUAUCGUUGUUUACAGAUAAUAUUUUAAAAUUAUUAUCAAUUUUGGGUUAUUCUUUUAAAUCAAAUCAAGGUGCAGCAUAUUUAGGGUAUAAUGGGUUACAAUAUAAUUUAUAUACAUUGGAUAUAAAAAUUAAAUUAUUAUGGAAAUUGGAUCCAAAAGUAAAAUAAAAUUAAAAAGUUUAUUUGAUUAAAACUUUAAAAUAUGCACACAU
RNAcentral lists this ribosomal RNA (303 nucleotides) under Alloscorpiops anthracinus. RNAcentral describes it as "partial small subunit ribosomal RNA". The record is from RNAcentral. Lineage: Eukaryota; Metazoa; Arthropoda; Arachnida; Scorpiones; Euscorpiidae.